This 139-nucleotide small nuclear RNA is filed under the name Nematostella vectensis (starlet sea anemone). RNAcentral's name for it is "U4 spliceosomal RNA". It matches the Rfam family "U4 spliceosomal RNA". Rfam says of the family: U4 small nuclear RNA (U4 snRNA) is a component of the major U2-dependent spliceosome. The structure of U4 snRNA from yeast and human has been reported. The record is from Rfam by way of RNAcentral. Lineage: Eukaryota; Metazoa; Cnidaria; Anthozoa; Actiniaria; Edwardsiidae.
AGCUUUGCGCAGUGACAUUACCGUAGCUGAUGAGGUCCAUCCGAGGCGCGGUUAUUGCUGAUUGAAAACUUUUCCCAAUACUCCGCGAGACGACUUGAAACAUAGUCGGCUUUGCAAUUUUUGUGGGCCCUACUUAGGG